AGAAUCAACGCUGGCGGCGUGCCUAACACAUGCAAGUCGAACGAGAAAGUGGAGCAAUCCAUGAGUAAAGUGGCGCACGGGUGAGUAACACGUGACUAACCUACCCUUGAGUGGGGAAUAACUGAGGGAAACCUUAGCUAAUACCGCAUAAUACCUACGGGUCAAAGGAGCAAUUCGCUUAAGGAGGGGUCGCGGCAGAUUAGCUAGUUGGCGGGGUAAUGGCCCACCAAGGCAGUGAUCUGUA
RNAcentral lists this ribosomal RNA (244 nucleotides) under uncultured bacterium. RNAcentral describes it as "partial small subunit ribosomal RNA". It matches the Rfam family "Bacterial small subunit ribosomal RNA", at positions 26 to 285 of the family's 1533-position model. The record is from RNAcentral.